RNAcentral lists this small nuclear RNA (108 nucleotides) under Ailuropoda melanoleuca (giant panda). The record is from RNAcentral. Lineage: Eukaryota; Metazoa; Chordata; Mammalia; Carnivora; Ursidae.
GUGCUCACUUGGCAACACAUUACUAAAAUUGGAAUGAUAUGGAGAAACUUAUCAUGGCCCUGCACAAUGACGAAAUGCAGAUUAUGUCAUAAAGUUUUCCAUAUUUUG